AGCGAACGCUGGCGGCAGGCUUAACACAUGCAAGUCGAACGGGCACUUCGGUGCUAGUGGCAGACGGGUGAGUAACGCGUGGGAACGUACCUUUCGGUUCGGAAUAAUUCAGGGAAACUUGGACUAAUACCGGAUACGCCCUUCGGGGGAAAGAUUUAUCGCCGAUAGAUCGGCCCGCGUCUGAUUAGCUAGUGGGUGUGGUAAUGGCUCACCAAGGCGACGAUCAGUAGCUGGUCUGAGAGGAUGAUCAGCCACAUUGGGACUGAGACACGGCCCAAACUCCUACGGGAGGCAGCAGUGGGGAAUAUUGGACAAUGGGCGCAAGCCUGAUCCAGCCAUGCCGCGUGAGUGAUGAAGGCCUUAGGGUUGUAAAGCUCUUUUGUCCGGGAAGAUAAUGACUGUACCGGAAGAAUAAGCCCCGGCUAACUUCGUGCCAGCAGCCGCCGUAA
Molecule: ribosomal RNA, 449 nt
Filed under: uncultured bacterium
Lineage: Bacteria
Description: partial 16S ribosomal RNA
Rfam family: Bacterial small subunit ribosomal RNA
Source: RNAcentral